Molecule: ribosomal RNA, 432 nt
Filed under: uncultured bacterium
Lineage: Bacteria
Description: partial 16S ribosomal RNA
Rfam family: Bacterial small subunit ribosomal RNA
Source: RNAcentral
AACGAACGCUGGCGGCAUGCCUAACACAUGCAAGUCGAACGAGACCUUCGGGUCUAGUGGCGCACGGGUGCGUAACGCGUGGGAACCUGCCCUUAGGUUCGGAAUAACUCCCCGAAAGGGGUGCUAAUACCGGAUAAUGUCUUCGGACCAAAGAUUUAUCGCCUUUGGAUGGGCCCGCGUUGGAUUAGCUAGUUGGUAGGGUAAAAGCCUACCAAGGCGACGAUCCAUAGCUGGUCUGAGAGGAUGAUCAGCCACACUGGGACUGAGACACGGCCCAGACUCCCACGGGAGGCAGCGGUGGGGAAUUUUGGAAAAGGGGGGAAAGCCUGAUCCAGCAAUGCCGGGGGAGUGAUGAAGGCCUUAGGGUGGAAAAGCUCUUUUACCCGGGAUGAUAAGGGCAGUACCGGGAAAAAAAACCCCGGCUAACCCCGU